CUCUGGAUCAGUGGCGAACGGGUGAGUAACACGUGAGCAAUCUGCCCCUGACUCUGGGAUAAGCGCUGGAAACGGCGUCUAAUACCGGAUACGAGCUGCGAAGGCAUCUUCAGCAGCUGGAAAGAACUUCGGUCAGGGAUGAGCUCGCGGCCUAUCAGCUAGUUGGUGAGGUAAUGGCUCACCAAGGCGUCGACGGGUAGCCGGCCUGAGAGGGUGACCGGCCACACUGGGACUGAGACACGGCCCAGACUCCUACGGGAGGCAGCAGUGGGGAAUAUUGCACAAUGGGCGCAAGCCUGAUGCAGCAACGCCGCGUGAGGGACGACGGCCUUCGGGUUGUAAACCUCUUUUAGCAGGGAAGAAGCGAAAGUGACGGUACCUGCAGAAAAAGCACCGGCUAACUACGUGCCAGCAGCCGCGGUAAUACGUAGGGUGCAAGCGUUAUCCGGAAUUAUUGGGCGUAAAGAGCUCGUAGGCGGUUUGUCGCGUCUGCUGUGAAAACUGGGGGCUCAACCCCCAGCCUGCAGUGGGUACGGGCAGACUAGAGUGCGGUAGGGGAGAUUGGAAUUCCUGGUGUAGCGGUGGAAUGCGCAGAUAUCAGGAGGAACACCGAUGGCGAAGGCAGAUCUCUGGGCCGUAACUGACGCUGAGGAGCGAAAGGGUGGGGAGCAAACAGGCUUAGAUACCCUGGUAGUCCACCCCGUAAACGUUGGGAACUAGUUGUGGGGUCCAUUCCACGGAUUCCGUGACGCAGCUAACGCAUUAAGUUCCCCGCCUGGGGGAGUACGGCCGCAAGGCUAAAACUCAAAGGAAUUGACGGGGACCCGCACAAGCGGCGGAGCAUGCGGAUUAAUUCGAUGCAACGCGAAGAACCUUACCAAGGCUUGACAUAUACGAGAACGGGCCAGAAAUGGUCAACUCUUUGGACACUCGUAAACAGGUGG
This 944-nucleotide ribosomal RNA is filed under the name Microbacterium sp. Its description in RNAcentral is "bacterial SSU rRNA". It matches the Rfam family "Bacterial small subunit ribosomal RNA", at positions 85 to 1041 of the family's 1533-position model. Lineage: Bacteria; Bacillati; Actinomycetota; Actinomycetes; Micrococcales; Microbacteriaceae. The record is from RNAcentral.